RNAcentral lists this transfer RNA (72 nucleotides) under Camelus bactrianus (Bactrian camel). It matches the Rfam family "tRNA". Rfam says of the family: Transfer RNA (tRNA) molecules are approximately 80 nucleotides in length. Their secondary structure includes four short double-helical elements and three loops (D, anti-codon, and T loops). Further hydrogen bonds mediate the characteristic L-shaped molecular structure. tRNAs have two regions of fundamental functional importance: the anti-codon, which is responsible for specific mRNA codon recognition, and the 3' end, to which the tRNAs corresponding amino acid is attached (by aminoacyl-tRNA synthetases). tRNAs cope with the degeneracy of the genetic code in two manners: having more than one tRNA (with a specific anti-codon) for a particular amino acid; and 'wobble' base-pairing, i.e. permitting non-standard base-pairing at the 3rd anti-codon position. Lineage: Eukaryota; Metazoa; Chordata; Mammalia; Artiodactyla; Camelidae. The record is from Rfam by way of RNAcentral. RNAcentral also lists the same sequence under 1 other name.
GAGGGUGUAGCUCAGUGGUAGAGUGCCUGCCUAGCAUGCAUGAGGUCCUGGGUUCAACCCCCAGCACCUCUU